AACCAGCACCUCAAGUGGUCAGGAUGAUUAUUGGGCCUAAAGCAUCCGUAGCCGGCUCUGUAAGUUUUCGGUUAAAUCUGUACGCUUAACGUACAGGCUGCCGGGAAUACUGCAGAGCUAGGUAGUGGGAGAGGUAGACGGUACUCGGUAGGAAGGGGUAAAAUCCUUUGAUCUAUUGAUGACCACCUGUGGCGAAGGCGGUCUACCAGAACACGUACGACGGUGAGGGAUGAAAGCUGGGGGAGCAAACCGGAUUAGAUACCCGGGUAGUCCCAGCUGUAAACUAUGCAAACUCAGUGAUGCAUUGGCUUGUGGCCAAUGCAGUGCUGCAGGGAAGCCGUUAAGUUUGCCGCCUGGGAAGUACGUAUGCAAGUAUGAAACUUAAAGGAAUUGGCGGGGGAGCACCACAAGGGGUGAAGCCUGCGGUUCAAUUGGAGUCAACGCCAGAAAUCUUACCCGGAGAGACAGCAGAAUGAAGGUCAAGCUGAAGACUUUACCAGACAAGCUGAGAGGUGGUGCAUGGCCGUCGCCAGCUCGUGCCGUGAGAUGUCCUGUUAAGUCAGGUAACGAGCGAGAUCCCUGCCUCUAGUUGCCACCAUUACUCUCAGGAGUAGUGGGGCGAAUUAGCGGGACCGCCGCAGUUAAUGCGGAGGAAGGAAGGGGCCACGGCAGGUCAGUAUGCCCCGAAACUCUGGGGCCACACGCGGGCUGCAAUGGUAACGACAAUGGGUUUCGAAUUCGAAAGGAUGAGGUAAUCCUCAAACGUUACCACAGUUAUGACUGAGGGCUGCAACUCGCCCUCACGAAUAUGGAAUCCCUAGUAACUGCGUGUCACUAUCGCGCGGUGAAUACGUCCCUGCUCCU
RNAcentral lists this ribosomal RNA (864 nucleotides) under uncultured archaeon. RNAcentral's name for it is "SSU rRNA". It matches the Rfam family "Archaeal small subunit ribosomal RNA", at positions 474 to 1337 of the family's 1478-position model. The record is from RNAcentral.